GCCGGGCGUGGUGAUGCACGCCUGUAAGCCCAGCUACCUGGGAGGCUGAGGCAGGAGAAUCGCUUGAACCCGGGAGGCGGAGGUUGCGGUGAGCCAAGAUCGUGCCACUGCACUGCAGCCUGGCUGACAGAGCGAGACCCUGUCUUUU
Unclassified non-coding RNA from Macaca mulatta (Rhesus monkey), 148 nucleotides. It matches the Rfam family "Metazoan signal recognition particle RNA". From Rfam's summary of the family: The signal recognition particle (SRP) is a universally conserved ribonucleoprotein. Lineage: Eukaryota; Metazoa; Chordata; Mammalia; Primates; Cercopithecidae. The record is from Ensembl.